AAGAACUUAGGUUACAUCUUAAACCACGGGCCUUCAAAGCCCGAAACAGGGACCACAUAACCCUAGCUCUUG
RNAcentral lists this transfer RNA (72 nucleotides) under Acanthodactylus boskianus (Bosk's fringe-fingered lizard). RNAcentral describes it as "tRNA-Trp". Lineage: Eukaryota; Metazoa; Chordata; Lepidosauria; Squamata; Lacertidae. The record is from RNAcentral.